Molecule: unclassified non-coding RNA, 304 nt
Filed under: Hevea brasiliensis (rubber tree)
Lineage: Eukaryota; Viridiplantae; Streptophyta; Magnoliopsida; Malpighiales; Euphorbiaceae
Source: RNAcentral
CUUUUGUUUUCUGGCUUCAUUUUAGCGGAGGGCUCCCAUCUAAGCUUUUGGGAGGGAAAACCAUAAAAACCCACAUCACGAUUCACAGGUCAGUUUCUCUUUUAAAGGAAUUAUCAGAUGAGCACUAUAGUACAUAGAACUCCCAAAUCCUCUGGGAGUCGGUCAUUAUUUUUCCAAGAUUUGGCAUCCCCUGUCUCUGCCCAUAAAGGGAAAUUCUCAACACCAGGUCAGGCAGCUGCAGUAUCUGCUCUAUGGCGUGACAAUUUUGGCGGUUUAGAUCUUCCACCCCCUCCCAUGUAUACCU